RNAcentral lists this ribosomal RNA (458 nucleotides) under uncultured Prevotella sp. RNAcentral describes it as "bacterial SSU rRNA". It matches the Rfam family "Bacterial small subunit ribosomal RNA", at positions 338 to 795 of the family's 1533-position model. The record is from RNAcentral. Lineage: Bacteria; Pseudomonadati; Bacteroidota; Bacteroidia; Bacteroidales; Prevotellaceae.
CCUACGGGGGGCAGCAGUGAGGAAUAUUGGUCAAUGGACGGAAGUCUGAACCAGCCAAGUAGCGUGCAGGAUGACGGCCCUCUGGGUUGUAAACUGCUUUUAGUUGGGAAUAAAAAAGAGGACGUGUCCUCUAUUGUAUGUACCUUCAGAAAAAGGACCGGCUAAUUCCGUGCCAGCAGCCGCGGUAAUACGGAAGGUCCAGGCGUUAUCCGGAUUUAUUGGGUUUAAAGGGAGCGCAGGCGGAUUAUUAAGUCAGUGGUGAAAGACGGUGGCUCAACCAUCGUUAGCCAUUGAAACUGGUAGUCUUGAGUGCAGACAGGGAUGCUGGAACUCGUGGUGUAGCGGUGAAAUGCUUAGAUAUCACGAUGAACUCCGAUCGCGAAGGCAGGUGUCCGGGCUGUAACUGACGCUGAGGCUCGAAAGUGUGGGUAUCAAACAGGAUUAGAUACCCGUGUAUC